AGUUGUAAUUUGCAGAGGAUGCUUUGGGUACGGUGCCUUCCGAGUUCCCUGGAACGGGACGCCAUAGAGGGUGAGAGCCCCGUACGGUUGGAUGCCUAGCCUCUGUGAAACUCC
Molecule: ribosomal RNA, 114 nt
Filed under: Nectriopsis sp.
Lineage: Eukaryota; Fungi; Ascomycota; Sordariomycetes; Hypocreales; Bionectriaceae
Description: partial large subunit ribosomal RNA
Source: RNAcentral